GACGAACGCUGGCGGCGUGCUUAACACAUGCAAGUCGAACGGAAAGGCCCUGCUUUUGUGGGGUGCUCGAGUGGCGAACGGGUGAGUAACACGUGAGUAACCUGCCCUUGACUUUGGGAUAACUUCAGGAAACUGGGGCUAAUACCGGAUAGGAGCUCCUGCUGCAUGGUGGGGGUUGGAAAGUUUCGGCGGUUGGGGAUGGACUCGCGGCUUAUCAGCUUGUUGGUGGGGUAGUGGCUUACCAAGGCUUUGCCGGGUAGCCGGCCUGAGAGGGUGACCGGCCACAUUAGGACUGGGGUACGGCCCAGGGUGCUACGGGGGACAGCAGUGGUAAAUAUUUCACAAUGGGCGGAAACCUGAUGCAGCAGCGCCGCGUUCGGGAUGACGGCCUUCGAGUUGUAAACCGCUUUCGCCUGUGACGAAGCGUGAGUGACGGUAAUGGGUAAAGAAGCACCGGCUAACUACGUG
This 468-nucleotide ribosomal RNA is filed under the name uncultured bacterium. Its description in RNAcentral is "partial 16S ribosomal RNA". It matches the Rfam family "Bacterial small subunit ribosomal RNA", at positions 28 to 507 of the family's 1533-position model. The record is from RNAcentral.